UGGGGAAUUUUGGACAAUGGGGGCAACCCUGAUCCAGCAAUGCCGCGUGUGUGAAGAAGGCCUUCGGGUUGUAAAGCACUUUUGUCAGGGAAGAAACGGUGAAGGCUAAUAUCCUUUGCUAAUGACGGUACCUGAAGAAUAAGGACCGGCUAACUACGUGCCAGCAGCCGCGGUAAUACGUAGGGUCCAAGCGUUAAUCGGAAUUACUGGGCGUAAAGCGUGCGCAGGCGGUUGUGUAAGUCAGAUGUGAAAUCCCCGGGCUUAACCUGGGAAUGGCAUUUGAGACUGCACGGCUAGAGUGUGUCAGAGGGGGGUAGAAUUCCACGUGUAGCAGUGAAAUGCGUAGAGAUGUGGAGGAAUACCGAUGGCGAAGGCAGCCCCCUGGGAUAACACUGACGCUCAUGCACGAAAGCGUGGGGAGCAAACA
This 427-nucleotide ribosomal RNA is filed under the name uncultured bacterium. RNAcentral's name for it is "bacterial SSU rRNA". It matches the Rfam family "Bacterial small subunit ribosomal RNA", at positions 355 to 774 of the family's 1533-position model. The record is from RNAcentral.